UACGUAGGGUGCGAGCGUUGUCCGGAAUUACUGGGCGUAAAGAGCUCGUAGGUGGUUUGUCACGUCGUCUGUGAAAUUCCGGGGCUUAACCUCGGGCGUGCAGGCGAUACGGGCAAUACUUGAGUGCUGUAGGGGAGACUGGAGUUCCUGGUGUAGCGGUGAAAUGCGCAGAUAUCAGGAGGAACACCAAUGGCGAAGGCAGGUCUCUGGGCAGUUACUGACGCUGAGGAGCGAAAGCAUGGGUAGCGAACAGGAUUAGAUA
Molecule: ribosomal RNA, 262 nt
Filed under: uncultured prokaryote
Description: partial 16S ribosomal RNA
Rfam family: Bacterial small subunit ribosomal RNA
Source: RNAcentral